Camelus ferus (Wild Bactrian camel) is the source of this 73-nucleotide transfer RNA. It matches the Rfam family "tRNA". Rfam says of the family: Transfer RNA (tRNA) molecules are approximately 80 nucleotides in length. Their secondary structure includes four short double-helical elements and three loops (D, anti-codon, and T loops). Lineage: Eukaryota; Metazoa; Chordata; Mammalia; Artiodactyla; Camelidae. The record is from Rfam.
GAGGAUAUAGCUCAAGCGGUAGAGGGCAUGCCUAGCAUGCACAAGGUCCUGGGUUCAAUCCCCAGUAUCUCCU